CAGGAGGGACUGUGUCUUUGACACUUGCACAAAAUAAACGAAAAGGGAACAGGUCCUCGGGCCUCCGGGUUGUUUUUGUUACCGUGACUCCUCCGUGGUCCUGAAGCCUCUGAACGAGCUCUUAGGCCGCAAGGUGAACAUCGAAAAGUCCUUUAGAAAAUGAAUCCCGCUCCACAGUCGCGCAUCUACACAAUAUUUAGCUCAUAAAAAAGAAAGAGUCGUGCUUAGCUACCAAAAAAAAGUUUGUCGCUGAAUUUGCCGUCGAUUCUCGAUGCGACUAUGUUUUAUGCCGAACUAGUUUCUUCAGAGCGUAAUAGGAUCUUGGUCACAAGGGGUGGCACGGUUCGACACGUGAUCGGUCUACACCAAUGAGGUAGCUGCUUUUUGUCAACAGAAUGGCAAGAUGGCGGCUCCCGUGGUUGGAUUCAACGUUACCGAUAAAGAGGAAAACACCCUUAAAAGUGGGCUAAAUCGAUUCUAAAUAGUGCUGUAUACAUAGCCGCGUCCAAUAAGAACAAUGAGGCAACAGAAUGGCAAGAUGGCGUCCUCGAGCAGUACGGAAGACGAAGAAAAUACACCGGAAUAUAUUAAUAAAUCAAAAAACAAACAUUGUUUUAUGCAUAUUACUUCAGUCAAGCACGAGGAGGUACAUUAUUUCACCACUACACGAUGGAAUACAUACAGGACAAGCCUACAAACGUGGCUCGGGUUGGACGGUGAGUCUCGGGACGUGGCUGAGAACUUCAAACACUGUGUUGAUGUGGAGUUUGACAAUAUUCCCGAGGAUGCUGGCUUCCAUCACACGUGCUACCGUAGAUUUACGGACAAAAAAUCCAUGGCAAAGGUGGAAAGAAGGAGAAGUUCGUCAACCGAGCAGGCAAACGACAAAGGGAUACUCUGUCAAAGGCUGAAACAUUAACAGCAGGCCAAUUGCAGAAAGCUGCCGAGUUGAAGGAGGACCAAAGUAUUUUUUUGCAUAUAAAAGACAGACUGUGUGGCUCUGGAGGUGCAGUACCACAAAAGCUGUUAUAAUCAGUAGGCUACACCAGGUUUUUGAUGAGGCCUGAAAAACCAGAGAAAGAACAGUAAGUUAUUUAUUAUAUUGCAUUUCAAGGAGCUACUAACUUAACAUUGCAUAAGUAAACAUUCAAUCCGCAUUCUGUUGUAUGUACACACAAUCACAACACAUAUUCAUUUAUUUCCUUCUCAUUCAUAUGUGUUCUAGGAUUGAGCCCACGUUUGAUAUCAGCUAUAAGAUAUUCUGUGAAAGGAUCAUUCGCCAAAGGCUGCUUGUCAACCAAGAGGUGCUGAGAAUGGGCCAGCUGAGGAAGGCCUUCGUUGAACUGGUGAAAGCAAAUGAAGGUCUUGAUGCUUCAAACUACAGGAUAUGUUGAAGAAGAGGCUGGCUCGUGAUUUCCCCCAGCUGGUGUUUCACAUCCCCACCAAGCGCAACAUCUGCGAGCUGGUUUUUGCAGAGACCCUGUCAACCAUUGACAUUACCAAGGUGUCAUCAGCUCUCGGAACCAGUGUGUGUUCAGCCUUGAUCGGAAUUCACACAUUCUCUGGGUGUGACUCCACAAGUGCCUUUUAUGGCAAAGGGAAAAUGACAUUUUCUGUUGCAUGUGAGAAAGGUGAGUACCUAAAGGCUUUUAAAAGUUUAGGUACUCACUUUAACUUGGAGCAGUCAACAUUUGCACUUCUUUGCCAGUAUGUGUGCCACUUAUAUGAUCAGCCAGCUGCCGAUAAUGUAAAUGAAGCUAGGUACAAGGCUUUCUGUAUGGCAUCAUCAGCCUUGCCAGAAAUAUGCAUUCCCCCAACUACUGAUGCCCUCCAACAGCACUGCAAAAGGGCAAACUACCAGGCUGCAAUAAUGAGGUCCUGUCGCAAACAAAAAAUAAGUGCUCCAUCACCUGCUGGAUAUGGUUGGCAAAUAGAGGAUGGGACCUUGCACAUCACCUGGAUGACCAGAAAUCCGGCCCCUGACAGUGUUUUGCAUGUCAUACACUGCGGCUGCAAAGGUGCCUGUGAGACAGGAAGAUGUUCCUGUUUUUCUGCAGGAUUGUGUUGCACAGACUUAUGUCGUUGCUGUAAUUGUGCCAACACCAAAGACACCGAGCAACUGGAAGACAACUGCCCUGACACUGACAGUGAGGACUGAGCAUCCUUAAUAUGUUAUUUCUUUUGUAGUUUUGUACAGUUUUAUAUAUGUCAUAUUUUUCAUAAAGAUUGUUUCUUUUGUU
This is an RNA transcript of Pseudoliparis swirei, 2240 nucleotides long. RefSeq lists it as uncharacterized. NCBI's taxonomy places the organism in Eukaryota, Metazoa, Chordata, Actinopteri, Perciformes, Liparidae. The transcript has 3 exons. The record is from RefSeq and is a predicted model, not a curated record.